GACGAACUCUGGCGGCGUGCCUAAUACAUGCAAGUCGAGCGGACCGGAUUGGGGCUUGCCUUGAUUCGGUCAGCGGCGGACGGGUGAGUAACACGUGAGCAACCUGCCCGCAAGACCGGGAUAACUCCGGGAAACCGGAGCUAAUACCGGAUAACACCGAAGACCGCAUGGUCUUCGGUUGAAAGGCGGCCUUUGGGCUGGCACUUGCGGAUGGGCCCGCGGCGCAUUAGCUAGUUGGUGAGGUAACGGCUCACCAAGGCGACGAUGCGUAGCCGGCCUGAGAGGGUGACCGGCCACACUGGGACUGAGACACGGCCCAGACUCCUACGGGAGGCAGCAGUAGGGAAUCUUCCGCAAUGGGCGAAAGCCUGACGGAGCGACGCCGCGUGAGCGAAGAAGGCCUUCGGGUCGUAAAGCUCUGUUGUGAGGGACGAAGGAGCGCCGUUCGAAGAGGGCGGCGCGGUGACGGUACCUCACGAGAAAGCCCCGGCUAACUACGUGCCAGCCGCCGCGGUAA
RNAcentral lists this ribosomal RNA (517 nucleotides) under uncultured bacterium. Its description in RNAcentral is "partial 16S ribosomal RNA". It matches the Rfam family "Bacterial small subunit ribosomal RNA", at positions 28 to 523 of the family's 1533-position model. The record is from RNAcentral.